UCGUUAUUUGCUUUUUUUUUCUUCUUCAUUCAUUUGAUAGAAAAAAAACAAAAACAAAAAAAAACCACAUGCGAACAAAAAAAAACAAUAUUUUUCAAACUCCUGAAAAAAACAAAAACAAAACGAAAAACACAAAAAAAAACAAACAAGAAA
Molecule: unclassified non-coding RNA, 153 nt
Filed under: uncultured fungus
Lineage: Eukaryota; Fungi
Description: sequence contains ITS1, 5.8S rRNA gene
Source: RNAcentral